RNAcentral lists this long non-coding RNA (230 nucleotides) under Phoenix dactylifera (date palm). RNAcentral's name for it is "long non-coding RNA (PDAC_LNC007592)". Lineage: Eukaryota; Viridiplantae; Streptophyta; Magnoliopsida; Arecales; Arecaceae. The record is from RNAcentral.
UUCUGUCUGUUACCCUUUGGAGUCGACUCGGAACCGUCGGAAGUCGACUCGUCAAGCAUCGGAGUCGACUCGAAGCCUUUUGGAGUCAGCUCGCUGACAGGGUCUGAAAACCAUCUUUCUGUCUUUCUUUCUGUUCUCAGUCGGAGUCGACCCGUAGAGUAUCGGAGCCGACUCGAGCUCGUGCCAGAAACUCUGAACCAUUUGGAGUCGACUCGUAAUCUUCCGGAGUC